AACUCUCAACAACGGAUAUCUUGGCUCCCGUAACGAUGAAGAACGCAGUGUGAAUUGCAGAAUUCCGUGAACCAUCGAAUCUUUGAACGCAAAUUGCGCUCGAGGCUUCGGCCAAGAGCAUGUCUGCCUCAGCGU
RNAcentral lists this ribosomal RNA (135 nucleotides) under Trebouxia arboricola. Its description in RNAcentral is "5.8S ribosomal RNA". It matches the Rfam family "5.8S ribosomal RNA". Rfam says of the family: 5.8S ribosomal RNA (5.8S rRNA) is a component of the large subunit of the eukaryotic ribosome. It is transcribed by RNA polymerase I as part of the 45S precursor that also contains 18S and 28S rRNA. Lineage: Eukaryota; Viridiplantae; Chlorophyta; Trebouxiophyceae; Trebouxiales; Trebouxiaceae. The record is from RNAcentral.